AUGACUGGAUUUCCACUUUUGCCUCUCCCUCGUUUUCUCUUGCCGCCAUGUAAGAAGUGCCUUUCACCUCCUGCCAUGAUUCUGAGGCCUCCCCAGACAUGUGUAACUGUAAGUCCAAUUAAAUGUUUUUCUUCCCAGUCUUUGGUAUGUCUUUACCAGCAGUGUGAAAACGAACUUAUAAACUCUUUAAUUCCUGAAAUUGCCAAUUUUUUUUUCUUGAUCAGUUUCACUAGAGUUUUAUCAAUGUUGUUCAUCUUUUCAAUAAGCCAACUUUGAUUUUUCUCUUUUACUUUGUUGCAUUUAUUCUACUGCAUUGAUUUAUGCUCUUGUCUUCAUUAUUUCACUCUCUCUGCUUACUUAAGGUUUAAUUUAUUCUUGUUUCACUAGUUCCUUUAAGGUACAACCUCAAAUCAUUAAUACAAAGCCUUUUAUUUCUUUUCUAAUACAACGAUUCAGCUACAUCUACCAGGUUUUGAUAUGUGAUAUUAUGAUUUUAACCUAGUUCAAUUUUUUUUUAAUUUCUCUUGUGAUUUCUUCUGUAAUGCAUAGAUUGUUUGGAGCCUGUUGUAUAAUUUUAAAUAUUUAAGAAAUUUUCAUAUAUUUUGCUGUUACUCAUUUCUAGGUUAAUUUUGUUACAUUUAGAGAACAUCCUUUGUAUGAGUAUAACCCCCUUACAUUUAUUGAAUCUUGUUUUAUGGCCCAGAUUAUUUUGGUGUUUUAUGUGCAUUUGAAAGGUGUGGGUUUUCUAUUGUUGGGUAGAGUGCUCUAUAAAUAU
Molecule: long non-coding RNA, 775 nt
Filed under: Papio anubis (olive baboon)
Lineage: Eukaryota; Metazoa; Chordata; Mammalia; Primates; Cercopithecidae
Description: lncRNA (ENSPANG00000050045.1)
Source: RNAcentral